Molecule: non-coding RNA, 670 nt
Organism: Arachis ipaensis
Lineage: Eukaryota; Viridiplantae; Streptophyta; Magnoliopsida; Fabales; Fabaceae
Source: RefSeq, a predicted model, not a curated record
GACAGGAGGCGUCUGGGAAAGAACAGAACAGGCGGCGACUGGGAGAGCAGAACCGGCGGCGACAGCAAAGAACAGAGAAGAAGAGACGGAGAUCGGAGAAUUAGAGGCUAGGGUUUCUCACUGCUUAGUUUAGUGGUUUGCAAUUUACUCUCUUCUGUUUUUACCUUUUUACCCCUAACCCACACGUCGUUUUCAAUUAAAAACAUUAAAAACUGAGAACCACUAGUGUUUUUCUAGUAGGGGUUUAAAAUCCACCAACUGUUUUUUGAAUUAUUGCCAUUUUUUAAAAGAUAAUAUUAGAAAUAACAAAUGAAAUUACAAGCUUUUAAACGGUAAAAAUUUAAAUAAAAAUUUGAUGAAAUAAAUUAACAAAAUAAUUAAACCAAUUUUAUAUUUUAAUAGUCGAAUAAUAAAGAAUUUGGAAUUAUGUAUAAAAAUCGUAUACUCAAAUCUCAUUAUACGAUGUGUACCUAAAACAGAAAAUUUUGAGGGGAAAAUACACAUAUAUACAAGUGACACCUUUUCACAAGCUUAUCAUGAUACCAACAUACAAGAACAAUAUACAUUUUAUCGGCGGAAAUACACGUAUACUUUCUCUGAGGCCUUUGCAGCAAUCAGAUGGUAAAACACUAUUUUACAAUGUAGACUCGCACGUUUUUACAAGGUCUAU